UUACCUUUGGCAGGUCCUGUGGGUCAGGAAUUUAGGGGUGCAGCGUGGGCCCACAGCAUACCCAGUAGCCAAGGAAGACCCUCCCCUACCCGAGGCUCAAGCAGGCGCCAGGCCCCAAACCCUCACUCCUCUCUGGUCUAAAUCCCCGCCGUAGGAUUUUAUUUUUCGGUGCUGAGGUGCUUUGCUGGAGGAGCUGCCAGGGGGAGCUGCGCGGGGCAGGCCCGGGGUACCAGAGGCCCUUGCUUUAGCGGCGGCCCUGCGUGUGCCAGAGGCUUGCAGAGUGAUCUGAGCACGCCAAGAGAUUGCUGUCAAUGAAAGCACCAGAUUUCCGCGUAGGAGGGACUCGGGGGCAACGAUGCAAUUGGAAGCAUUCAGGAAGCCCUGGGGCCAAAGCAAACAGCAUGCUUGAGGCAAGGUGCUGUGAGGCCCAAAUGAGCUGAAGCUUGCACAAAACUGCUCACCACUGCCAUAGCUGAAUCAGCGGAGGCCAGGAGGAUGCGAGGCGGUGCCCGUGAUUGUCUGAUCAUCUCCCUCUUGGACCGCUGAGACUCAGGCAUGCCCUGCAUCAAAUCCAACCUGUCACCAGGUCUUCAAGGGGGAGGCCUGCGGAAAUCCUACUGUGAAUGAAACUACAGUUGCUAUUCAUCGUCUCCCUCCUGCACCUACCACUCCAGAUGUCCCUCACUCUUGGCCAGCACUUUGGCUUGUUUAAGUUGUGUGCCAGGUGAGGUGACCACACCUUCCCCCCUGCAGUUUCUGAGUCUUUCCUGAGCUUUGUCUUGGUUGGCCCUUGGCUGCUGUGACUGCCUAUUUUAUCUAAUUGCAGGUUCAAGAUUCACCAAGAAGGCAGGGCGCAGUGGCUCACAUCUGUAAUCCCAGCACUUUGGGAGGCUGAAGCAGGCAGAUCACUUCAGCCCAGGAGUUUGAGACCAGCCUGGGCAACAGAGCAAGACCCCAUCUCUAAAGAAAAAUAAUUAUUCAGGUGUGGUGGCACAUGCCUGUAGUCCCAGCUACUCAGGAGGCGGAGGUGGGAGGAUCGCUUGAGCCCAGGAGGUUGAGGCUGCAGUGAGCCGUGAUUGCACCAUUGCACUCUAGCUGGGCAACAGAGCAAAACCCUGUCUCCAAAAAUAAUAAGUAAAUAAAUAAAUAAGAUACUAAGAGACAGCCCAGUGACUCUCCUGAGUCCCAAACAUACUCAUCCAUCCCUCAUGGAGAAACAACUCUAUCUCCUUGCAAUAAUCAGAACUAGUUUCUCCUGCCAGUUUAAUCAGUACUUUUUUUAUUGCAGUAAAAUACACACAACAUAAAAUGUGCCACUUUAACCAUUUUAUUAUUAUUAUUAUUAUUAUUAUUAUUAUUAAGACGGAGUUUCACUCUUGUUGCCCAUGCUGGAGUGCAGGGGCGCGAUCUUGGCUCACUGCAACUUCCACUUUCUGGGUUCAAGCGAUUCUCUUGCCUCAGCCUCCGGAGUAGCUGAGAUUACAGGCACACGCAGCCAUGCCCAGCUAAUUUUUGUAUUUUUAGUAGAGACGGGGUUUCACCAUAUUGGUCAGGCUGGUCUCAAACUCCUGACCUCAGGUGAUCCACCCACCCCUUGGCCUCCCAAAGUGCUGGGAUUACAGGCGUGAACCACCAUGCCCAGCCCAUUUUAACCAUUUUUAAAUGUUCAUUCAGUGGCCUGAGUUAUAUGAACAUUGCUGGACAACCAUUGCUACUAUGUAUUUCCAAAACUUUUUAAUUGCCUUAAACAGAAGCCUUGUAACCAUUAAGCAACACCUCCCCAUCCCCUCUCCCCUCAGCCCCUAGUAAUCACUAGCCUACUUUCUCUGCUACUUUGUCUCUUGUAGAUGUUUCAAACAAGUAGAAUGAUAUGAUACUUGUCCUUUUGAAACUGACUUAUUUUACAUAGUAUAGUGUUUUCAAGGUCCAUCCAUGUGGUGCAUGUAUUAAAGCUUCAUGCACUUUUAUGGCUGAAUAAUGUUCCAUUGUAUGUACAAGGCGUGCCACAUUUUGUUAUUCAUUCACCUGUUAAUGGCAACUUGGCUUGUUUCCACUUUUGGGCCCUUGUGGAUAAUGCUGCAGUGAACAUCAGCAUGGAUGUCUCUGAGUCCUGCUUUCAGUUCUUCAGGGUAUAUGCCUAGCAGUGGAGUAGCUGAUUCUAUGUUAAUUCUAUGUUUAAUUUUUUGAGAAACUGCCAUAUUGUUCUCCAGGCUGGCUGCACCAUUCCACAUUCCCACUAACCGUGCACAAAGAUUCCAAUUUCUUACCAACACACUCUCAUCAAUACAUGUUAUUUUUAGUUUAUCGUGUUUUCAUUUUUCUUUUAUUAAUAUAUAGCAGGCAUUCUAAUGGGUGUGGGGUGGUAUCUCAUUUUGGUUUUGAUCUGCAUUUUCCUAGUGUUUAGCGAUGUUGAGUAUACUUUCCUGUGGUCAUUUGUAUAUUUUCUUUGGAUGUGUAUCUGUUCAAAUCCUUUACUCAUUUUUAAUUGAGUUGUCUUUUUGUUAUUGAGUUGUAGGAGUUCCUUAUAUAUUCUUGAUUUUAAAACUUUAUCAGAUAUAUGAUUUGCAGAUAUUUUCUCCCAUUGCAUCGGUUGUUUUUUCAGUUUCUUGAUAAUGUCCUUUCAUGCACAAAAGUGUUUAGUUUUGAUGAAUUCCAAUUUGUCUCUUUUUCUUUCUUUGCUCAUGUUUUUGGUGUCGUAUCUGAGAAUCCAUUACCAAAUCCAAGGUCGUGAAGAUUUACCUAUAUGUUUUCUUGUAAGAGUUCUGAUGUUUGUCAUUGAUCCAUGCUGAGUUAACAUUUAUACCGUAUAAUGUAGGGGCUACCUCUUCAUUCUUUUGCAUGUAGAAACUCCGUUAUCCUAAUUGUUGCUAAUUGCCUCUGGCCCACUGACUUGAGAAGCCCAAGAGGACCAGGGAGUAUUUGUAUUUUCAAGUUCUGUAGAAUUGGUGAUGUUCCCUGGUGGAGGAGUCCACUCUCCGCUCCUCCUCCCCCAUCAAGAACUAAGACGUCGAAUUUGCUAGAGCCCCACCCAAAGCUGUGGACACAGGAAGCACACAUUUCUCAAGGUGGUCUCUGCGAGUGAUGGUGAGAGCAGCCGAUCUCACUCCCCCCGCCACCCCCUGGGUUUCCAGCCCCAUGUCUUUCUGCUUUUGGGAUCAUAGCACCAUGUGUCUGCUCUUGGUAAGGCACGUACACCACAGUUUCAAGGAUAGUAUCCCAAUUAUACAGGGUGUGGGCUCACGCUUUCACCCUGGCAUAGCCUUGGCACAGGUCAUCCUGAUGUUCUUGUAGGCCUGCUGCUUCCAGAGGAACCUUGGAGCCAUAGCUUCUUUGCUGUAAAACAGACCCCUUGGCUUGAGGCAGUGUUGUUCAAAUCCCCUGCCAAUAAAUCAGAGACGACCGUAAGUGCUCUGUUGGUGAUGCCAGUGAAGGCACUGUUGCAAGGAAGGAAAAUCCAUAUCCAGAGUCGGUGUUCACUCUGCUAGGACUCAUCGCUGUCUCAUCAAUGACAGAAGGGGUCUCAUAUAAUGAACUUUGCACUGUGACUGCCUGAUCUCCUUGUGAAAUGGUGCCAUCUUGAGGGCUCAUUAUUAGUCCAUGUGGUUGGCAGGUAGGGCAUUCAGUAGCGGCAGCAGCCAGGUCAUCUCUAGCAAGAGGGAACUUGUGUUGGGCUCAUGCCUCCCUUGACUUUUGCCACCAUGGCCACACCAUUCAUGGAACUAUCUAUUUCCCCUGCCGUGGGGUGGCUGAUGCUGGCUGAUGCCCAGAGGAUGAACCAUCCUGUCCACCCAGUUGCUAGGUGCCUCCUCUGCAGGAGAGGCUUUUUGGCAGACCUUAACGUAAGUCCAAUGAUUGGCACGCUAGUGCCAUUUCCAUAGGUCAGUAGUACUGAUUUUUCCUUUUGUCUCAGACACCAAUAUGGCUCGGCACAGCAGUUACUGAUCCUGUCUCUAUUUGAAAUUUUAAUAUUUUGCUCAUCAUGGAU
This 3985-nucleotide long non-coding RNA is filed under the name Homo sapiens (human). Its description in RNAcentral is "HSALNT0258163". Lineage: Eukaryota; Metazoa; Chordata; Mammalia; Primates; Hominidae. The record is from RNAcentral.